CUCAUUCUAGGAAUCUCGUUCUAGCAAUUAGAUUCAAUAGGAAUUAAAUUACACAGAAUCAUAUUCAUUUCAAUUUUCUUAUUUGGAUGUACAAACAAACUAAUUCUUAGAAUUAGAUUUUAAAUAUUGUUUGGUUGAUUAGAAAUUCAAAUGGAACAACAUGCUACCAGCAUAGCUCUCUCUCUAACACAUGGAGUUGUCAGACAUUCAAAUGAAGUCUCCAUUGUUGUUAGAUAUUCAAAUCAGACAACAUGCUACAAUUCAAACAUUUAAAUGAAAUAUUCCAAGCUCC
This 292-nucleotide long non-coding RNA is filed under the name Setaria viridis. RNAcentral's name for it is "long non-coding RNA (SVIR_LNC008348)". The record is from RNAcentral. Lineage: Eukaryota; Viridiplantae; Streptophyta; Magnoliopsida; Poales; Poaceae.